This 161-nucleotide ribosomal RNA is filed under the name Campylobacter concisus. RNAcentral describes it as "partial 23S ribosomal RNA". It matches the Rfam family "Bacterial large subunit ribosomal RNA", at positions 2750 to 2925 of the family's 2925-position model. The record is from RNAcentral. Lineage: Bacteria; Pseudomonadati; Campylobacterota; Epsilonproteobacteria; Campylobacterales; Campylobacteraceae.
UGAGUCUGGACUGGAUUAGCGCUGAAAGCAUCUAAGUGCGAAGCCAGCCGCAAGAUGAGAACUCCUCAUAAGGGUCGUCAUAGACGAUGACGUUGAUAGGGUGUAGGUGUAAAGACGGUGACGUCAAAGCCGAGCACUACUAAUUGCCCGAAACUUUCUUC